UACAGAGGUGGCAAGCGUUGUUCGGAAUUACUGGGCGUAAAGGGCGCGUAGGCGGUUCGUUGCGUCAGAUGUGAAAGCCCCGGGCUCAACCUGGGAACUGCAUUUGAUACGGGCGAGCUUGAAUCCAAGAGAGGGUGGUGGAAUUCCCAGUGUAGAGGUGAAAUUCGUAGAUAUUGGGAAGAACACCAGUGGCGAAGGCGGCCACCUGGCUUGGUAUUGACGCUGAGGCGCGAAAGCGUGGGGAGCAAACAGG
Molecule: ribosomal RNA, 253 nt
Filed under: uncultured bacterium
Lineage: Bacteria
Description: partial 16S ribosomal RNA
Rfam family: Bacterial small subunit ribosomal RNA
Source: RNAcentral